RNAcentral lists this transfer RNA (86 nucleotides) under Pediococcus argentinicus. Its description in RNAcentral is "tRNA-Leu". It matches the Rfam family "tRNA". Rfam says of the family: Transfer RNA (tRNA) molecules are approximately 80 nucleotides in length. Their secondary structure includes four short double-helical elements and three loops (D, anti-codon, and T loops). The record is from RNAcentral. Lineage: Bacteria; Bacillati; Bacillota; Bacilli; Lactobacillales; Lactobacillaceae.
UGCCGCAGUGGCGGAAUUGGCAGACGCGCAGCGUUCAGGUCGCUGUAUAGGAAACUAUGUGCAAGUUCGAAUCUUGUCUGCGGCAU